UGAGUUUAACACUUCAUGACUGACAGCAGAACAGAACACAAUCUUCAUCAUCACACAACACAAAACAACAACGAUGACCUUCAGCAUCAUCUUCAUCUGGACACUUUUAUUCUGUAUAAAAGGCAUAUAAUUAAACAUUUAAGCACUGAAACAUAUUUGAAAAGAUCAAGUGGACAGAUCACAGUGACUCAGACUCCUUCAGUGAAACUUGCUGCUCCAGGAGAGACUGUUGUGUUGAAAUGUACUGCCAGCACUCCUUUAACAGACUGCAGCCCACCCUGUCUGUCCUGGUACUUACAGAAACCUGGAGAAGCUCCUAAACUCAUGAUUUAUUAUACAAGCAGCCUUCAGUCUGGAACUCCAUCUAGAUUCAGUGGCAGUGGAUCUGGAAGUGAUUUCACUCUGACCAUCAGUGGAGUCCAGACUGAAGAUACAGGAGAUUAUUACUGUCUGAGUGCACACUACAUCAGUAGUAGCUGGGUGUUCACACAGUGAUAAAGAGUCGUACAAAAACCUCCGUCAGUCAGACUGCACAGUGACUGCACUGAUACAACUGACAGAUACUGCAGCUGCUCAUACAACACAAUCACACACAACACUGAUCAGUAGACAAACACAAAUUAAACACAACAUGAUUUUUCAAAAUAAAUAGACAUUGUUUAAAAGUGAUUGUCACAUUUCAGGUAUAAUUUCUAUUUUUUAGAAGCAUCCCACAAUGCCAAGUGUAAAAAAUGGCAAACCAUGGCACAUAUUUUCACUUUAUUUUUAAAUGUUUAGUUUCAUUUUAGGUUAUUUUGGUCUGAUGUCUUCAGAGAAUUUUAUAAUUUAUUCAGAAUAGUCUUCGAUCCCCUACAAUAAUCUUGAGAUUCUUCUACAACGCACUCUGAGUUCUGCAAGAGUCUAGAUGUUAUUGAGUUCAUACUCAUGUACUCUGAUUUCAUUGAAAGCAGCUCCUUUGAGCCAGUGAGUUUGAGUAUAUUCUGAAAGACA
This is a non-coding RNA of Myxocyprinus asiaticus (Chinese sucker), 990 nucleotides long. The record is from the annotation of a RefSeq genome assembly. NCBI's taxonomy places the organism in Eukaryota, Metazoa, Chordata, Actinopteri, Cypriniformes, Catostomidae.